Molecule: long non-coding RNA, 420 nt
Organism: Harpia harpyja (harpy eagle)
Lineage: Eukaryota; Metazoa; Chordata; Aves; Accipitriformes; Accipitridae
Exons: 3
Source: RefSeq, a predicted model, not a curated record
UGCCAUCCACAUGACAGGUGGAUUAGAAGAAGACUUGAGGAAUCUGAGGAAGGGAAAAAGAAGACACUAACAGUGAAAAAGGAAAUUACAUGAUUCCAUGUAACUAUCAUGGGGCAGUCAUCUGAGCCUGGGAAAAGUACCAGCUUUUAGGUGGAGCAUGGCAUUUGAGUCCAAGAAAGGAUCUCACUGACAUUUAUUUGGCAAGUGAAGGUACAAAAAUUGCAAGCUAUCAGAGCGACAGAAAAACCUGGAUGAUAUCCAUCCACGUUGCUCCAGCCAUCAACAGUCACGAAGGAAGAACCUAUUAAAGGCUACAAGAACUGCAGUGUCUAUUCAAGCAAAUACUCCCAGAGCUUCUACUUUUGAUAUCGAAAAAGCUGCUCCACCACAUCCCCUGCUGUUGGUGUCACUGUAAAAUUU